CCUCGAACGUCGGACAUCAUUAGGGCUGAAGCAGACGGAUGUCAAGGAGUUUGAAUCGAGUGAGAGCAUUGAACUCAAAAGGGACAGUGUCAUUAUAAGUCUAUGUGUCUACCUCAAUGAAGACAGCAACACGCUCAUCAAGCAGUACUUGCUUCCUCACCAUUGACAUCCUAAGGGGGAGAUCUCUCAGACCACAGUGAGGAUUUCUGUGAUUCGCAGUGAAGGUGCUGGUAAAGAGGAUAAACCAGAGGAUGUCGGAGUGGUGACUGAGGGUAAACAUUUUGGUGAGCCUGAUGUGCGUGACUGCACUUGGCGUGUAUUAAGGAAGGCGUUCUCAAACACGCUGGCAAAGAAGCUCAACUGGAGGGGGGUUAAUGGAAAGACUUCUUUGGCCUCCCUUAAA
Molecule: non-coding RNA, 403 nt
Organism: Paramormyrops kingsleyae
Lineage: Eukaryota; Metazoa; Chordata; Actinopteri; Osteoglossiformes; Mormyridae
Source: RefSeq, a predicted model, not a curated record